This 94-nucleotide non-coding RNA is filed under the name Neotoma lepida (desert woodrat). The record is from RNAcentral. Lineage: Eukaryota; Metazoa; Chordata; Mammalia; Rodentia; Cricetidae.
UUGACAAGGAUGGAAGAGGCCCUUGGGCCUAACAACACGCAUAUGGUUAAGGCAUUGCCACCUACUUCCUGGCAUCUAACCAAAGGGCCUUUUU